AUGGAACGCUGGCGGCGUGCCUAAUACAUGCAAGUAGAAAGCAGUUGCGAACGGGUGAAUAAAGAGUAGGUAACUGCCACAUAGCGGGGGAUCACUAUUCGAACCGAUAGCUCAUACCGCGUACUGUGAGAUGGACCUGCGUUGUAUUAGCUAGUUUGUGCGGUAAAGGCUCACCAAGGCGACGAUACAUAGCCGACCGGCGAGGGUGAUCGGCCACACUGGGACUGAGACACGGCCUAGACUCCUACGGGAGGCAGCAGUAGGGAAUCUUCGGCAAUGGACGGAAGUCUGACCGAGUAACGCAGCGUGAGUGAAGAAGGUUUUCGGAUCGUAAAACCCUGUUGUUAGAGAAGCGGUAUCUAACCAGAAAGCCACGGCUAACUACGUGCCAGCAGCCGCGGUAAUAC
RNAcentral lists this ribosomal RNA (407 nucleotides) under uncultured bacterium. Its description in RNAcentral is "partial 16S ribosomal RNA". It matches the Rfam family "Bacterial small subunit ribosomal RNA", at positions 31 to 526 of the family's 1533-position model. The record is from RNAcentral.